UUCUGGCUCAGGAUGAACGCUGGCGGCGUGCUUAACACAUGCAAGUCGAACGAGGUUAAGACUCGGUUUAAACCGAGUGGCGGACGGGUGAGUAACGCGUGGGUAACCUGCCGUAUGCAGGGGGACAACAGUUAGAAAUGACUGCUGAUACCGCAUAAGCUUACAGUAUCGCAUGAUACAGUGAGAAAAGAUUUAUCGGCAUACGAUGGACCCGCGUCUGAUUAGCUAGUUGGUGAGGUAACGGCCCACCAAGGCGACGAUCAGUAGCCGACCUGAGAGGGUGACCGGCCACAUUGGGACUGAGACACGGCCCAAACUCCUACGGGAGGCAGCAGUGGGGAAUAUUGCACAAUGGGCGCAAGCCUGAUGCCAGCGACGCCGCGUGAGUGAUGAAGUAUUUCGGUACGUAAAGCUCUAUCAGCAGGGAAGAUAAUGACGGUACCUGACUAAGAAGCCCCGGCUAACUACGUGCCAGCCGCCGC
RNAcentral lists this ribosomal RNA (482 nucleotides) under uncultured bacterium. RNAcentral describes it as "bacterial SSU rRNA". It matches the Rfam family "Bacterial small subunit ribosomal RNA", at positions 17 to 518 of the family's 1533-position model. The record is from RNAcentral.